CGCUCGCAGCUCCUCACCGGGGCAUCGGGACCCCUCCUCCGUACAUGCCCGAACCACCUCAGCCUCGCUUCCCGCAUCUUCUCGUCCACCGGGGCCAUGGCAUUGGGUUAUUACUGUACUUCAAGUUAUUCUGAUAAACACAAAAAAAUGAAUCUAUGAAAUGUUUUACAUGGGAGCAAGGACAAAAAAUAGAAGGAAAAUUUAAAAAGUAGUUUCUGUUAAAAGACUAAACAGGCAGCUUCAGACAAAAGUACAAAGUUUUUCAUGAUGUAUAGCGCUUUAUCUGCAACUUUCGCCACCAUGAAUCAAGGUUAAUCAGGAACUUCUUCAUAUCAAAGAUGUAAGACAACCUCAGGUGUUGGGGAAUACAGGUGAUAUGAUAUUUACAGACAAUUACCAUUAUGUAGAUCAGUUUAGGUCAUAUAAUUGGAACGAGAUUGUAGUUCACUACGUGGACACUGUCUGUCGGAACAGGAUAUGUCAUGCGUCAUUAUUUGACUACAUUUCGAGAAACUUAAUAAAACAAUAGUAACAAUUUAAGUUGAAGAGAAUGUAACAAUAAAAUAUAGAUGAUGACAUGAUGUGAAAUGUCUAACAAGUACUAAUGAUAAGAGGCUUCAUAUGUUUAUAUUUUUAGCAAGAAAACUAUUUCAAAUUCUAGUCUCUAACAUAAGUGUACUGUAAUGAAUUUUUUCUCCUUGAUAAGAAUAAUCAAAUUGCUGGUGUAUCGCGUUUACGCAUGAUCUGGCCAGUUCACGAUUAGCUAAGGAACCAGUGAUUAUAGGUUGGUGAUCAUGGACAUGCAUACUAAAAAGUUGUAGAAGUUCAAAUCCUUGAGACCUCUGUUGAGAUCAGGUCCUAAUCUCAUUCUUUUAACUAAGAGCUUGUUUACCUUGUCCGGCUUCUUUUAAAAUCUAUAUAACGACAAUGCUAUCUGCAGCACCUUGUCUGCACAUCCACCAUUCCGCUAGAUGUUUGCUGCCUCCCAGCCAACGCCGGCUGAAUGGUAAAGCAACCCAAGCAGUGGCUUUAGGCCCCCAAAUUUUGGGAUCCCCGUCUUUCAUUAGUAAUAAUUUUGUGAAUUAAUUUUUCAUAUACAAAAUUAAAAUUUAGGCUUAUUUUUUAAAUUAUAUAGCGUGAAAAGAAAAACAUAAAACUCAAAUGAAUAUACUUAAUAAGAUAACAAGACUUCAUUUUUUUUUUCUAAUGCCUAUAUUUCUUAUAGAAUAAAGUUUUAGUAUAACAAUUGCAUAUGGGGAAAAAAGUUUUUCCAAAUUGAAAUUGACAAAAUCUUGUAUAGGAUCAAUAAUGUCUCACGAGGAGCUAAAUGGAUCAGAUUAGCAGUACGGAAAAGGGCCAAAUACCCCCCUGGACUUUACGAUAAGGUCCAUAUAUAACCCUCGUUAAACGUUUGGCCCAUCCCCAACCUUGCCAUUACAUUAUUGGCCUAUGUACACCCUAUAUUUCAAACGGUUACCACGGUGGAUAAGUUAUCCACUCAAAAUAUUACACGUGGAAAUUAAUAUACGCACAAACAAUUUAUUUUAAUGCCCAUCCCUACCCAUUAACCCUACCCGUUACCCGGCCCAUAAGUUAUAACCCAUCUCUUAAUAACCCUACCCCUAUUAUCGUCUCUUUAACAAGAGGGUCAGAUAUAAAUUACCAAACUCUAUACCCCUAUUAUCGUCGACUCCACCAAAAAUUCCACCAUCUUUCUGCUAAUACGAAGGAAUCCAAUCGAAGGUAGAUGUUGUUGAAACUCCAUACCCCCAUAUUAAAGAAGAUCUUCUUGUCAAGGCAAGUUUUUUGAGCUUCUUUUUUGUUACAUUUUACUGUUGGGUCUAGGUUUUAGGAUUAAAAUCGUUUUAACAUGUGAUUUUGUCGAGUUAACGUUUUUCUGUUUAAAAGCAUUAUAUAUGUAUGUUUAUUGCUGGAUUGUGUUUAUUUUCGUAUUUUUUUUGGGGAUUUGAUGGGUCUUUGGUUGUCACGAAAUCAUAUUUGUCUUUAAUUAUUUUUUUAUUCCAUGUUUUAUCUUUAUCUGUAUAUGUUUGUUUAUUGCUGGAUGUUUGUUUAUUAUCAUAUUUUUUGUUAGGAUUUGGUGGGUUGGCUGUCCCGAAAUCAGAUAAAGCAUGAAAUAAAAAAUCUUAAAAGCAAAUCUGAUUUCGGGACAGCCGGCCCACCAAAUCCCAACAAAAAAUAUGAUAAUAAACAAAAAUUCAACAAUAAGCAAACAUAUACGGAUAAAGAUAAAGCAUGGAAUUAAAAAAAUACUAAAAGACAAAUAUGAUUUCGUGACAACCAAAGACCCACCAAAUCCCCAACAAAAAUACGAAAAUAAACAAAAUCCAGCAAUAAACAUACAUAUAUAAUGCUUUUAAACAGACAAACAUUAACUCGACUAAAUCACAUGUUAAACCAAUUUUAAUCCUAAAACCUAGAUCCAACAGUAAAAUGUAACAAAAAAGAAGUUAAAGAAACUUAACUUGACAAGAAGAUCUUCUUUAAUAUGGGGGUAUGGAGUUUCAGAAGCACCCACCUUCGAUUGGAUUCCUUCGCAUUAGUAGAAAGAUGGUGGAAUUAUGGGCGGAGUCGACGAUAAUGGGGGUAUGGAGUUUGGUAAUUAUUUCUGACCCUUUUCCCUUGUUUAAGAGACGAUAAUGGAGGUAGGGUUAUUAAGAGACGGGUUAUAACUUAGGGGUCGGGUAACGGGUAGGGUUAAUAGGUAUGGAUGGGCAUUAAAAUAAAUUGUUUGUGUGUAUAUUAAUUUCCACGUGUAAUAUUUUGAGUGGGUAACUUAUCCAUUGUGGCAGAUGUUUGAAAUAAAGGGGGUAUAUAAGCCAAUAGUGUAACGGCAAGGUUGGGGAUGGACCAAACUUUUAACGAGGCUUAUAUAUGGACUUUAUCGUAAAGUCAAGGGGUAUUUGGCCCUUUUCCAUUGGCAGUAUUAUUAGUUGAAAAAUAAUUGUUAGAAUAGCUCGAUUAUAAGAAAAUUAUGAAUGAUUUUGCAUCUAAAAAAGGUAGGAAAAUACACUUUAAUCAAAUAAAAAAUUAAGGCCUCUUAUCAAAAUUUUGCUUUAUGCCUCCAGUAAUGUUGAGCCGCUCCUGCUCCUAGCGGUACAAAUAUUAGGUAACUCUACCCUUGUUUAGGUAAAUAGGAAGCAGCGUAAUAAAACCAACUCAUUUUAGCUGGUUAGGUACUAAAAGCUAACGCCUGUACAGAAACGAAAUACUAGUAUAAGUAGUAAAGUCAAGCUUUUUGUUAUUUCUUAAACUAUGGAACGCAACCCAAUUUUAGAAAUGGUCCAACUCCAUCCUUACAAAAGCACACAUAUAGCUCUGGCAUAAGAAAUUGUCAAAGGAGUAACCAAGAAUAGAGAUUAUCCAUUCGUCUAAACACAAACGAUGAGUGUCCCAAAAUGAAAAGCAACAGUUAACCGAUACAGAGUUAUCCGGUAGAAUAGUUGCAGUACACAAAUCGGUCAGUAGUAAACAACAUACUCAUUAUAAUCCCACAAAUCGGAUCUCCGGUCAGGAUACUAAUGUUAUUUAGAAAAAUUCUUCACGCUUUGGUAAUAAGGGAAUGUGUCUCACAUGACAUGGAAAGGACAGUACCAUUUCAUCAUACCAUGCUAAGAUUGUACCGUAUGCAUUAGUUGUAUCGAACCACAUUUGUUUUAUUUUUUUUCGCUAGAAAAGUUUUCGGAGUAAGAAAAGAUGUUUUUUAGUGAUUACAAAAGGUCAAUUUAAGGUCCCGUUUGGCCAUACAUUUUGGCAACAUUUUUUCAAAUCUUUUUUGAAAAGAUAGUUUGUUUAUAAAUUAAUAAUCUAUUUUUGAACUUAUUUUUCAAGUUCCCAAAAUCUAAUUUAGGGUAGAUUUUGGGUGAAACUUGUUCUCCCACUCACAAAACUUCAAAUUUUUUCAAAUAAAAUACAUGUCCAAAUAUAAUUUUAACUUUUAAAAAUAUUUUUUAAAUUUCAACUAAUUUAUAUCCAGGCUAGCUAAAAUGUCCGUAGGAAGAAGUCCAAAAAAGGUCAACUUUUAAUUUUUGACUUUAAAUGACCUUUUUACUCUUCGGACUUUGGUGGACGUUAAAACCAAAUAAAGGAUGAUUUUGUCAUUUCCCGUCUCCGUCGGCAUAAUCCUGGCUUCAGUAUCUUGUAAAGCUGGAUUUCAUUAGUUCAUUUAUUACCGAAAUCAAUGCCCAAAAAAAACAAAUGUGAUAAAGUGUAAUCCCAAAAUUGCCCUCACUUAUAUGUCCAAACUAUAACACUAGGCAAGAAUAACUUAAGGGUAUUUUAGUAAGAGAAUAAGUUAUGAAUUUCAGUUAGAGAAAAAGCACAUCAUGUUGCUGGUCUUGCGCCAGCUUGCCACUCCCGGUGAUGACGCAUUUUAGCGGCAAAUUAGGGGCAGCCGGGAAGUAAGAAAAGGAUGAAAACUUCCGCUAAGAAAAAAGAGGGAAGGAAAUGGAAUAUAGCAAAAAAAAGACAAAAAAACAGAGGAGAAAAUGAAAAAUACGGACCUUUGAUGAUCGUGUGGUUGUGGUGAAGCUCCUGGAGAAGGAGGAAGGCGGCGGAAUUGCGGGUGAUUUGGAAUGGGAGUUACCGACAGAGGGCGCAGGCUUAGGCUGCUGCUUCAACGAUGAUAGCGCCUUUUUCAGUUUGCGCCACGCCUCUGCCAUUCUUCUUCUUCUUCUUCAAGCCUUCUUCACACACACAGAGGGAGAGAGAUGAGGAGCAAAGAGGAAAGAGUAAGUGUAUGACUUUUGUGUGAAAUUGAACGUUGAUGGUGUCUGCAUAUAUAUACUGAGAAAUGGAGGUUGGGUGAUAAGAAGGUAGGAGGGGAUGGAGAAAGAGAUAUGAAC
Molecule: long non-coding RNA, 4862 nt
Filed under: Nicotiana benthamiana
Lineage: Eukaryota; Viridiplantae; Streptophyta; Magnoliopsida; Solanales; Solanaceae
Description: long non-coding RNA (NBEN_LNC042176)
Source: RNAcentral